Molecule: ribosomal RNA, 394 nt
Filed under: uncultured bacterium
Lineage: Bacteria
Description: bacterial SSU rRNA
Rfam family: Bacterial small subunit ribosomal RNA
Source: RNAcentral
AUUGAACGCUGGUGGCAGGCUUAACACAUGCAAGUCGAGCGGCAGCAAGCCUUCGGGCGUUGGCGAGCGGCGGACGGGUGAGUAAUGCAUAGGAAUCUGCCUGGUAGUGGGGGAUAGCCCGGGGAAACUCGGAUUAAUACCGCAUACGCCCUACGGGGGAAAGGAGGGGAUCUUCGGACCUUUCGCUAUCAGAUGAGCCUAUGUCGGAUUAGCUAGUUGGUGAGGUAAAGGCUCACCAAGGCGACGAUCCGUAACUGGUCUGAGAGGAUGAUCAGUCACACUGGAACUGAGACACGGUCCAGACUCCUACGGGAGGCAGCAGUGGGGAAUAUUGGACAAUGGGCGCAAGCCUGAUCCAGCCAUGCCGCGUGUGUGAAGAAGGCCUGGUUGUAAG